Eupeodes corollae is the source of this 776-nucleotide long non-coding RNA. RefSeq lists it as uncharacterized. The transcript is spliced from 3 exons. The record is from RefSeq and is a predicted model, not a curated record. NCBI's taxonomy places the organism in Eukaryota, Metazoa, Arthropoda, Insecta, Diptera, Syrphidae.
UGAAGGAACAAAAAUGUUUUACCUUAAUAUUUUAAAAUUUAGAGUUGUAUUCGAAUACGAACUAUUUUACACUUCUGUACAUGUUUUGGAUAUUUAAACUUUGCUACUGCAAAGUUUGAGCCUUACUUCAUCUAUAAACUUAUGUAUUUCUGGUCGGAAUACUGUUUUUAUUUUAGUUUAUCAAUUGAAAACUAAAUUAUCUUUAAUAUUUUAUAACUACUUAAUCUACUGAAUCUGGAACAAAGGAAUGUCGAUUAGAGGUGUGUAUCAAUAGUGUCAUUAAAAGGUGCUUUCCAUUAAUUGUCCUCUAUUAAAUUGACAGAAAUUACCGAAAAAAACAAAAUUUCACGCCUUGUCAAGUCAUUUAAUAAAUGCUUAAAAAUCUAAAACUUCGAAACUAGUAUAAAAGCAUGAAAUUGAUAACUUCUAAUAUCAAACAUUUCUGAAAAGUUCAAGUAUAAACCAAUAAAAUGGGAAAAACAAUUAUCUUACUUUUGGUCGUUUGCAUGCUGAUUGGUGCAUCGGUUUCAAAUCCAUUAAUGGUGACUGAAUCUGGUCCUAAAUCUUUUGCCAUGCAAGGUUCUUCUUCAUCUGGCUCAUCUUCCGGUGGAGGCAGCAGCAGUGGCGGUGGAAGCAGCGGAAGUGGAAGCAGCAGCGGUGGUGGUUCGCAAACUUCAUCUGGUUGAAAAGAUCUAGAUAAACUUGAAAAUGCUUUCAUUUCUUUUGAGGUUUGAAAUUAAAUUGCAAUAAAAAAGUAUUGAAAUACAAAAAAAAAA